CGUCUACCAAAACCAAAAGGACAGACAGUUGGAUCAUUCAGGAAGGGUCUGAGAAUGCUGCCGGAUGCAAUCAGUGCAAGGUGCCUUUCUCCUUUCCUAGUUCAAUGUCUCCACCACCCCACUCCCACCCCCAGUAUAAAAAUUUAGGGGGGGAAAAAGAGAAGAAAAAAAUCAACAUUUACGGACUAGUUAAAGCUCAGUUUUGGCAUUUUUUCUGCCUAUGUGCAAUGCUAUCAAAGACGAAAAGCGCAAAAAAGCUCUAACGCCUAUUGGGCCUUUAAGCGCAAAUAAAGUGCGGGCUUUAGUGAAGAAAAGCUCAAAUGAAAAGAAAAAAAAAGUACAAAUAUGUAUGUAUAGUCCAAGAUUAAUAUCUAUAAACAUGAAUACCAAAUAGAUGGACAAAGACAUCGAAGAAACUUUAUUAUUGUUAGCGGAAAUGUAAAAAAAAAAACACAAGAUUUAACGUAGUUCGGAUCAAAAUAAUCCUACGUCUACCAGAGAACAAUUGCCCUUUUAAUAUUAACAAAGGAAGGGGAGAUUUUCCAAUUACACUUAAGAGAAUUUCUCUCUUAACUUUCUACUCACUAUAAUGUAUUGUAUUAUUUUGGGAUGAUUUCUACAAGUGAAGGAGUGCAUCUAUUUAUAGAGGUAAAUACCUCCUCUUGAUGUCAUUGGUGACAUCAAACUACCUUCUCUUGAUGUCAAGGGUGACAUCAAGGGAGGAAGCUUCCUCCUAGCAUCCACACUUCCAAUUGGCAUGCCAUUGUUGACUAAACAUAAACCAACAUUUUUAAUCUCCACCUUGGUUUGCGUUUCGAGCAUGCGUGUGAACAACUCUGGCCAAAACUUCUAAGUUUACUGGGCAACCCCGUUGUAAGAAACAAGAAGAAUCAAACCAUUGUUGAAUAUGCCACCUCCACCUAACAACUGGUCUCUUCAGAGUUGCAUUAGUUGAUGCACACCCCUGCCAAGUCCUUGCAGUGUGCAAACUUAGCGAGCGGGACUAUCUUGGUCAACAUGUCUGCAGCAUUAUCGUCUGUGAUAACCUUCACGACCUUGAUAGUUCCCUCAUCAACAUCUCGAAUAAAAUGAAAUCUGACAUCAAUGUGUUUAGUGCGCUCAUGAAAUCUCUUAUUUUACCUUGGUAGUUCUCUCUUCAACAACAUCUCGAAUAAAAUAAAAUCUGACAUCAAUAUGUUUAGUGCGCUCAUGAAAUCUCUGAUUUUUCAUUAGACGAAUAGCACUCUGACUAUCACAUCUAAGAGUUGAUUCCAGCUGAACCAAACUCAAUUCCGCUUCUAAACCUUUCAACCAGAUAGCUUCCUUCACCGCCUCCGCUGCUGCCAUGUAUUCUGCUUCUGUCGUAGACAAAACGACAAUCGACUGCAGAGUCGACUUCCAACUAACGGCACUUAAUGAUGUAUCCAGUUGUGGACCUUCUUCUGUCAAGAUCUCCUGCAUAGUCAGAAUCCACAUAACCUAGAAUUGAAAUAACUCCACUGGCACUGCCAACGAGGGUAAAGAUGUAUCCAGUUAUGGACCUUCUUCUGUUAAGAUCUCCUGCAUAGUCAGAAUCCACAUCCCGAGAAUUGAAAUACCUGCACCACUUUUUCGAAAGGUCAGACCAACACCAGAAGCUCCUUUGAGAUAUCUCAAUACCCACUUGACAGCUUCCCAAUGCCUCUUUCCUGGGCUGGACAUGUAUCUGCUUACCAUACUUACAGAUUGAGCAAUAUCUGGACGUGUGCAUACCUUAACAUACAUAAUGCUACCAAUUGCACUGGCAUAAGAAAUCUUUGACAUAUGCUCCACCUCAUCCUCGGACUGAGGCAUCUUUCCUAGGUUGGACAUGUAUCUACUUACCACACUUACAGAUUGAGCAAUAUCUGGACGUGUGCAUAACAUAGCAUACAUAAUGCUACCAACUGCAGGCAUAAGGAAUCUUUGACAUAUGCUCCACCUCAUCCUUGGACUGAGGUAUUUGUGACUCUGAAAGUUUAAAAUGAGAAGCUAAUGGUGUACUUACAGGCUUGCACGUAUGCAUAUUGAAUCUCUCGAGAACCCUUUCAAUAUACCUCUUCUAAGAAAGAUGCACAACACCGUCUUCUCUAGAAAUCUCCGUACCAAGGAUUUUCUUUGCAGCUCCUAAAUCCUUCAUGUCAAAUUCCUUACUCUAUCGUUUCUCUUGAAAUCUCCAUACCAAGAAUUUUUUUUGCAGCUCCUAAAUCCUUCAUGUCAAAUUCCUUACUCAACAGUUUCUCCAAAGCAUUUAUCUUUGUAAUAUUGUUAGCAGCAAUAAGCAUAUCAUCAACAUACAACAGUAAAUAAAUCAUUGAGUUACCAGGCAUCUUCUUGUGAUACACACAGCUAUCAAAUGCACUCAUUGAAAAUUCAUGUGUAGUCAUGAAUGAAUCAAACCUCUUGUACCACUGUUUAGGGGAUCUCUUCAAACCAUACAAAGACUUCUUUAGUUGGCAUACAUGAUCUUCUUUUCCCUCAACUAGGAAAUCGUCAGGUUGAUCCAUAUAGAUUGUCCCUUCUAGAUCACCGUGUAAGAAAGCAGUUUUGACAUCAAGUUGUUGAAGCUCCAAGUCAAAUUGUUCAACCAAUACUAGUAGCACGCGAAUUGAGCUAUGCUUCACGACCGGAGAGAAAAUCUCAUUGUAGUCAAUUCCCUCAUUUUGGCUGAAACCUUUUGCAACCAAUCUCGCCUUGAACCUAGCAUCUUCCACUUCAGGAACUCCCUCUUUCUUUCGGUAGACCCACUUGCAUCCAACUGUCCUCUUCCCCUUUUGUCUUUUCACUAAGACCCAUGUCUGAUUCUUGUGAAGAGACUCCAUCUCUUCACCUUUUGUCUUUUCACUAAGACCCAUGUCUGAUUCUUGUGAAGAGACUCCAUCUCUUCAGUCAUGGCUAACUGCCAUUGUGCAGCAUCCUUGCAAGAAGUUGCUUCAAUAUACGAGGAGGGCUCCAGUUCUUUAAUAUCUUCUUGUGCAGCUACGAUCGCAUAUGCAAUCAAGUUUGCUUGAUUUAUAAGGCGUUCCGGUUCUCGUGUAUGCCUCUUCCCUCCCCUUCGCAAUUGUGUAUGGUUCAUUGACAACAAGCUCUUCAAGGCCUACUCUUCUGACUCAUCUUUAACCUGAGUCUCUUGAACCUUUUCCUUGGCAAGCUCCACCUGCUCGUCGUUCUUGUUUUAUGAAAACUCCACGGAAACUUUACGAGGAUCAAGUAUAGAGGAUUCAUCGAAGGUGAUAUCUCUACUAACUAUAAAUUUGAGUGAAGACAAACACCAAAGUUUGUGCUCUUUUACUCCAUCUACAUUCCCUACGAAUAUGGCCUUCUUAGCCCUUGGUUCAAGCUUUCCUUCAUUUACGUGAUAAUAAGCUGGACACCCAAAUACUCGUAAAUAUGAAUAGUUAGAGGGUUCGCCUGACCAUACCUCAUUUGGAGUCUUAAAGUCAAUUGCUGAUGCUGGAGAUCGAUUGACAAUAUGAGCAGCAGUGUGAACUGCUUCAGCCCAAAAUACUUUGGACAUUUUGGCUUGUAGGAGCAUACAACGAGCCUUUCAAGAAGAGUUAUGUUCAUUCUCUCGGCAACUCCAUUCUGCUGUGGGGUAUGCCUGACAUAUACAACGAGCCUUUUCAAGAAGAGUUUUGUUCAUUCUCUCGGCAACUCCAUUCUGCUGUGGGGUAUGCCUGAUAGUCCUAUGUCUUGAGAUCCCAUGAACCUUGCAUAAUUCCUUAAACUCUUCAUUGCAAAACUCCAAGCCAUUGUCUAUGCGAAGAUACUUGAUUUUCCGCUCCAUUUGAUUUUCAACCGAAAUCUUCCACUCUUUAAAUGCUUCAAAAAAUACACCCAAACUUUUCGUGAGAAAUCAUCAAUAAAAGUGAGAAGAUACCUCUUUCCGCCCGUCGAUGGAAGUUUAGAAGGACCCCAUAAAUCUGAAUGGAUGUAGUCUAGCACUCCUCUUGUAUUGUGUUUGCUAGUGUUGAAGCUGACCUUCUUCUGCUUCCCUAGAACGCAGUGCUCACAGAAGUCAAGUGUGCUAAUCUUCUCACCUUCCAAAAGGUUACGAUUGCUCAACAUCUCCGGUCCACGUGUGCUCAUAUGACUCAGUCUCAUGUGUCAUAGUCUUGCCUUGUUAUCAUUAGGUAACUGCAUUGUAGAUGCAUUUGCAGAGCCAACAAUGGUGCUUCCGGCCAAUGUGUAAAGGCCGUUCUCCAGCUUGCCUUUCAGCAUCACUAAAGAACCUUUAGUCACCUUCAUAGUUCCUGCUUCGCUCAUGUACCUUUAGCCUUGUUCAUCCAGAGUACCCAAGGAGAUCAAAUUCUUCUUCAGAUCAGGAACAUGACGGCCUUGUGUAAUAGUCCUCAUGACUCCAUCAUGGCAGCAAACCUGAACUGAGCCAAUGCCAACUAUUGCACAAGUUGCAUUAUUGCCCAUUACUACGGUUCCUCCACUUCUCUCGUAGCUGAAUCAUGGCAGUGAACCCGAACUGAGCCAAUGCCAACUAUUGCACAAGUUGCAUUAUUGCCCAUUACUUCGGUUCCUCCACUUUUCUCGUAGCUGCUAAACUAGUCUUUCGGGAACGUCAUAUGCAGAGUACAAGCAGAGUCUAACACCCAUUUGUUUUCAUAACUACUAUUAUAUUACGCGAUAUUGUUAGUACAUAAUCAUUAUCAAAAUCAUGUACCUGUUCAACUGUAGAUGCACUCCCCUUUUCCUUGGACAUUGACAUUAGGCAAUCUCGUUCAAAGUGCCCCUUCUUGCCACAACCCCAACACUCUGUAUUCUUCUUGUUCACACGAGACUUUGAUCUGUGCUUUGAUUUGCUCUUUCCCUGUUUGCUAGUCCGGCCUCUCACAAAGAGCCCACUUGCCUAGUCAUCUCUAUCUCCUUUAAUGUGCCUCCGCAACUUUGAUUUGCUCUUUCCAUGUUGGCUAGUCUGGCCUCUCACAAAGAGGCCACUUGCCUGGUCAUCUCUAUCUCCUUCAAUGUGCCUCCGCACAUCACUUGAGUUAAGUGCCUGCCGCACUUGCUCAAGUUUGAUAGGCUCCUUGCUAUACAUCAUUGAAUUCUCAAUAUCACGAUAUCCUGAAGUCAAUGAAAAUAACAAAGCACAUGCAAGCGUCUCCUCCUCCCUUUUAAUUCCUGCAAUCUGUAAGUCCAUGACAAGUUUAUUAAAUGCAUCUAAAAUGAUGAAGUAUCUGACCCCAUCUUAAAUGUGUGAAGACGCCGGUGUAACAACAUUCUUGUUGUCACUGAUCGGUCUUGCUAUAGCCCUUCUAGCUUUCCCCAUAACUGUUUGGCCGUUUCUUCGGUACCUGUACUCACUUCACAAAGCACGUUAGGUGCAAAGGAUAGUUAGAUUGCACUCAAUGCAUCCCCUUCAAUCUUCUCCUUGUCGGGAGAUGAUAUAUCCGUAGGAUACUUUCCGUCAAUAGCAUGGAUUGAACCUUCCCUCCGCAGUAACGCCAUCAUCUGUAUCUUCUAUCAAUUUCAAUCUUCAUGGAACUCAUGUUUUCUUGUUAUUCCUCCUUGGAUAAUUAAAGAAUCAUAUCUCUCUGAUACCAAUUGUUAGCGGAAACCUAAAAAAAGAACACAAGAUUUAACGUGGUUCAGAUCAAAUAAUCCUACGUCCACCAGAGAACAAUUUCCUUUCUAUUAUUUACAAAGGAAGGGAGAAACGUAAAAGAAAGAACACAAGAUUUAAUGUGGUUUGGAUCAAAAUAAUCUUACGUCCACCAGAGAACAAUUGCCCUUUUAGUAUUAACAAAGGAAGGGGAGAUUUCCCAAUUACACUUAAGAGAAUUUCUCUCUUAACUCUCUACUCACUACAAUGUAUUGUAUUAUUUUGGGAUGAUUUCGACAAGUGAAGGAGUGCAUCUAUUUAUAGAGGUAAAGACCUCCUCUUGAUGUCAUUGGUGACAUCAAACUACCUUCUAUUGAUGUCACGUGUGACAUCAAAGGAGGAAGCUUCCUCCUAGCAUCCACACCAACUCUUUCUACCAACUCUUCCAAUUGGCAUGCAAUUGUUGACUAAACAUAAACCAACAUUUUCAUUUAUUAAGUGAAAUAUCAAUUGUUUAGCAUUACCUCCUCAUGAUUACGCUUAUUUGCAAGGAAAAGUAUGCUUUUAGAGCCUUGAUGAUAAGGCUGAAGCGCCCGCUAAGCGAGGCAAAGUGCUCAAUAUGUUUUGAGAUUCGCUUCAGGGCUUAAGCGUGCCUUUGAUAAUACUGCCUAAGUGUGUUCUUUAAUGCUCUUGUUCAAGCAGUUCUCUAGUAUUUUUACCUUGGCUCCACCCCACUCCCACCCCCAUUAUAAAUAUUUGGCAGUUCUCUAGUAUUUUUACCUUGGAAAUGCUAAUAAGUCGUCGCCGUGUUUCCUUAGAUUGGGAAGCAAAUUAAAACUGUCAUGGAAGCUUUCUAGCAUUACAAAGUCAGAAAAAGGAGGAUAUCGCUUGACAUACGAGACACCAGAAGGAGUCGU
RNAcentral lists this long non-coding RNA (6489 nucleotides) under Nicotiana benthamiana. Its description in RNAcentral is "long non-coding RNA (NBEN_LNC028798)". Lineage: Eukaryota; Viridiplantae; Streptophyta; Magnoliopsida; Solanales; Solanaceae. The record is from RNAcentral.